Molecule: ribosomal RNA, 212 nt
Filed under: uncultured bacterium
Lineage: Bacteria
Description: partial 16S ribosomal RNA
Rfam family: Bacterial small subunit ribosomal RNA
Source: RNAcentral
CAGUUCGGAUUGCAGCCUGCAACUCGGCUGCAUGAAGCUGGAAUCGCUAGUAAUCGCAGAUCAGAAUGCUGCGGUGAAUACGUUCCCGGGUCUUGUACACACCGCCCGUCACACCAUGGGAGUUGGAAAUGCCCGAAGUCAGUGACCGAACCGAAAGGAAGGAGCUGCCGAAGGUGGAGCCGAUGACUGGGGUGAAGUCGUAACAAGGUAGC